UUGAAUAGUGCCAUGAUAAAGGAUAAACACUUCUUAUCAAGAAUUUCUCCACUCUUAGGACUUAAACCUCGACAUCUUAUUGAGGUGGAAGAAAUUUCUACUACAUCUUAUUUUGUCCUUAAAUGGUUCUAUUUUUGGAGUUACCACUUGGUCAGUGUGUAAAGCGCAAAAAAGGCAAUAGUUCCUCCGCAAGUGUUGCAGGAAGAAGCCGAUAAAGACAUUUACAUGCUAAGAUCCGUUGUCUCAGAGAUUAUUAAGUGGGGCAAACGAAGUAAGGACGUAACUACAUGGAAUCAGAAUCAAAGCUAGGAACCUCUCGUACUGAGGCCCGAGCAAAGCGCUUACCACCGGAGCCAUCUAGACCCCACCCCCCCAAAUCCGGUACGAGCUCUAAGACCCCGAAAAGCGUUACCAAACGGUUGCACACGACUAACAAAGGGCCGUGAUAUCCGUGUCCAACCGGAUAUCACGGCGUGGAUCUCGGCCCGUAUCGACAGCAGAUCAGUGAUUAACGAAAAAGAAAUUUUUUACCUUUCUUAGAUUGUACUAGG
Molecule: non-coding RNA, 551 nt
Organism: Nicotiana tabacum (common tobacco)
Lineage: Eukaryota; Viridiplantae; Streptophyta; Magnoliopsida; Solanales; Solanaceae
Source: RefSeq, a predicted model, not a curated record